Gossypium arboreum is the source of this 400-nucleotide long non-coding RNA. RefSeq lists it as uncharacterized. The transcript is spliced from 2 exons. The record is from RefSeq and is a predicted model, not a curated record. NCBI's taxonomy places the organism in Eukaryota, Viridiplantae, Streptophyta, Magnoliopsida, Malvales, Malvaceae.
UCAACCUAAGGUUAUCUUCGAUUUUGUAGGUAACAUAUCCAGAGGCAUUCCUAUCUGAACCUUCACUUUCUUCUUGUUGCUGAAAACUACAAGCAAAUACCAUCAUUUUGUUUCUUUUGGGUACCAAAUUUGCAUGAAGUUGGGAUGGUUUGGAGACCAGGGCACCGGCAGCCAUGAUUGUAGGUUUGUAUGUUUUAGUGGUUACCAAAUUUGUACGAAGCUGCUGACACCGCUGAGGAACGGCCACAACAGCCACGCAUUGUGUUGCUAGCAGGGUUGAAUUGGCAGUCAAGGUGAUGGUGUAUGUACGUAGCUAAGCUUUGUGUGUUUCGGUUUGUAUUAUGUUGUGUCGGGGUUCUGUUAAAGAUGACUCCUAUUUUUAAUCAAAUUUAAAAAAUAA